Molecule: long non-coding RNA, 404 nt
Organism: Leguminivora glycinivorella
Lineage: Eukaryota; Metazoa; Arthropoda; Insecta; Lepidoptera; Tortricidae
Exons: 2
Source: RefSeq, a predicted model, not a curated record
GCAUACGACGGGUUACUCCCGUGUUAUCGCUGUUGAAAUUAUGACGCCAUUUUGAAGUAUAUAAGGAUUUUCUCUGGAGAUGGGAAACAGUGCAAAACGAUCAAGGAUACUUUAAAGACUUGUUCAAUUGUUUUUUUUUUUGUGUUUUGAAAUCCAAACAAAGUCACAAUAUGCCUAACAAGCCAGUAGGCGGCAACGCCAUGUCACCCAAGCACGGAGCUAUGAUAGCACCUGGAGGCUGCUGCACCCCCUUUUUACCCCCAUUCCCCCCACAAAUCCUAGUCCCGAAGCCAUGGGAAAAACCGGGCAUUUUCGGACCUAUCACUGGUUGCAUGUCAGGAAAGAAGUAGACAAGGCCUGUAUAAUGUACGCAUAUUUGUAAUAAAGAUAUGUGGUUCUGACAA